GAGGAGAAUGUGUGUAGUCCUGCCU
Molecule: non-coding RNA, 25 nt
Filed under: Rattus norvegicus (Norway rat)
Lineage: Eukaryota; Metazoa; Chordata; Mammalia; Rodentia; Muridae
Source: RNAcentral